AAGAAAAGAAAAGAAAAGAAAAGAAAAGAAAAGAAAAGAAAAGAAAAGAAAAGAAAAGAAAAGAAAAGAAAAGAAAAGAAAAGGAAAGGAAAGGAAAGGAAAGGAAAGAAAAGAAAAGAAAAGAAAAGAAAAGAAAAGAAAAGAAAAGAAAAGAAAAGAAAAGAAAAGAAAAGAAAAGAGAAAAGAAAAGAGAAAAGAAAAGAAAAGAAAAGAAAAGAAAAGAAAAGAAAAGAAAAGAAAAGAAAAGAAAAGAAAAGAAAAGAAAAGAAAAGAAAAGAAAAGAAAAAAGAAAAGAAGAGUAAGACAAGUCAAGGCAAAAAAAUAAAAAGUAAAUUAAAAUAAACAUAGGAAGUUUCCACAUGAAACACCUCCUGGAUUAGUCCAUGAGUGAUUAUCUUUUUCUGUUCUUCCUUUUCCUCAUACAAAUCCCUGCCAGGUUCUUCUGCUUUGAUGCUCACAGAAAAUCAUACAACCACUGACGAGAAGACAGAGUUACAACCAGGGAGCUAAUUUUAUCCAUUAAACUGAAGUAUGGUGAUGGGGAAUUUCUUAGAACCAUGCACAAUACAACCACAGCAAUGCUAAUGACAAACCCUCACACUGAAAAAUUCACCCUCUGCAUCCUCUGACAAGAGGGGAAACCCUGUCUCACACACACUUUGCCAGGGAAAUUUUACCAUUGCUUGCAACGGCAGGAUUUCAGCCAGCAAUUAUGAGAUUAUUUCAACAUCAGCAGCAGUAGGGCUUCAUCCUGUAUUCAGAUCACACAGCGACAACUUUGUACUUGUCUUUAUAUGUGAAGGCUGUUCUGGGAAAAAAACUGAUACUCACAGAUGAGAUGGGGGAAAAUUGUAGCAGUAUAUUUCUCCUUAUAGUAGAAUUUCCACAGAGAUUAAGUUAAAAGAACUGCUGCACAGGAAAAACUAAAUUUGACUUGAAAUAUUUAAAUUUUAAUAUGACGGCUGCAACCUGAGGAAUGCAACAGGCAUCUUAGCUCUACAAGCUGCCUUUUUCUGAAGACCAUGUAGGCACAAGGCAUAACCCCUACAGCUGUCAGAUUUUCUCCUGAAGAAGGAGCAGCCUGGGACUACUCCUCAUGAAAAAUCACAAGAGGGAAGGGUCAUUACUGCAGCACAUUUCAGUGAAGACCAAAGGAAGAAGAUGGAGGGUGAUAUUAAAAUGAUUCAUCUGGUGCCUGCAGAUGUCUCUCCCAGAAGACGACAAAGGCAAAAUAGAAUAAUAGCAAAAUUCUGCUGUGCUAUACUCAAUCUAAAACUACCUAUUACUGCCAAUCUAAAACUACUAUUACUACCAUUUCUUGUCCAUUUCUUUGUACCUAAAGAGAAACAAACAAACAAACAAACAAACAAACAAACAAAGAAAAACACAAAAGCACAAAAUUAUACGAACCUAAUUUCAGAACUUAUAGAAUUUAAAGUACAUCUAUACUUAGAUAAGUAGUCUUUCCAAAGAACCUAAAGAUUUUAUGUCUGAAUCCUAGUGGUAUUCACUCUAAAAAUCUUCAUCUGUGAAACUCACCAUUGGACUCAGUCCAGCAUAUGACAUCAUAACAUGGCUUUUAUGCUUCAAGAACAACCAAGAGAAGAAACUUCCCUUCCCUUUUUAUAUAGUCAUGUAUUUAUUAGACAUUUUGUCUGGUGGUAGGGAAUUCAGGAUCAGUUUUUUCCAAGAGAACAUGUUCCAAGAGAACAUGCUACUCAUAAGGCUAUAGAUUUUUCUCCAGUACGCCUUUUAUUUGAGUGCCAAAAAUUCCUGGACUGCUUCACAGAAACAAUAUAAACAUAUUUUAUUGACCAAAAUAUUGUUUACAAAUACUUUCAACUCUUCUGCCUUAUAGAGACUGACACAAAGCUUUUUGAAAUGCACUUAUACCCUUCCAUUGAUUUAGAUGACCUUUUGACCAGGUCCUUGGAGUAGCUUGAGGGGAGAAUUAAUCUGUGAUCAAAACAGAUAAAAUCCUAAGGGUUUCUAAAGCUACAUACUGCCAUCUCAAAUAGAAACUCAUUCUUCUGCUUUCAGGGAAGAAUGCAGUACAAAAAUAUGUGUUAGUGAACCAAGGCUGAGACCUGCAAGUGGUGCUAGUACAGCAGCUUUUGUUGUUACUUUAUUUUACUUUAUUUUCCUUUCUCUGGUUUUGAAGUAUCCAAAAAGAGACAAAUUAGAGCAUUUGUUUUCAGCAAGGAGUAUUUUUAACUGUUUACCAGCUCAUGGUUACUUCAUCUGUUCUUGCCUGUGUGACAAAUAAGAAAGGAUAACAUUUUUCAGAAUCACUUUGCAAAUAAUAUGUCAGAACCAUACCCACUCAUCUGAGAAUUGCAAAUUUUUUAAUCUGACUCUUCUCUUAUUUGUGUUAAACUCACACUCAUAAGGUGUCAAUUCCUUCAUUAAACUCAUUUUCAGAUUUGCCAUGAACAAAUAACACCUUCCUGUUCUCCUGCCCUCUGAAACCUUUGUUCUGCUUCCAGAAUAAACAACACAAAAAUCAAUAGCUAAUAUAUGUAAUUACUGGGAAAAGCAGUUAGCAGCAGAACCAUGACAAGGUCAUUCUCUCAGUCUCAGGCUACCAAACAUACAAAAACGCUUGCCAACACUGGGGACAAGAAAUAGCCUUGGAUUCUGCCAGUCAGCUGUCCUACUUGGCCACAGUGUAUAUGUCAACACACAAAGCACAUUCUGGGGUAUAAACGCACACACAUGCAUAUGUGUGGAUGUAUCCCAACCUGAGUUUUGCCACUGCACUAAUUUACUGCUCAUUAGAGCUGUAGACCUUCCAGAUGAUAAAAUGUAAUGUUGAAAACUCUUAUAAACUCUUAUAUUUGAACAUAAUAGUUCUUUUAAAAUAUAUCUUAAGAUGGAAAAUGGAAUUUUCUGAAUAUAUCACAAUUAAGAUUUAGAGAUAUGUAGGUUCAGAUCCUCAAAAAAACUCUUAGCCCGCAUUUGUAACGGUCUACGUUGCUCAAAGUGGAUAUAUGUAGAAAUGUUGACAUCUUGACAACACUGAGAUGACUGACUUCUUUCUGUCCUGCAAGCCUUAGUGUGUAGCAGGUACAUAUACUUCCUCCAUAAGCCUCAAUUUGGGAUCAGAGUCCAUAUAGUGAAACAAAGACAGGUUGGUUGUACUAUAUGGACUGGGUGUGUUUUUCUUUUCCUCUUUGUGUAGCAGAUGAAUAAUCUAUGGAAGACCCUAGUUAAGUCUUCUUUACAAAUGAGGAUCCACUGUCCUAAUUCACAAAAAACCCCAGCAGUGUCCCAUUUCCUGUAAGACUUCUGUAAGCAGUGGUCCAUGUAGUUAAUGUCUCCUGUCCUUCCCUUUGUAGUCCAGUUCAUAAUUAAGAAGCAAUGAAAAUGAGAGGAAGCAAAUCUUAGAUAGAAGUGGCUAGAACAUUUCCAUAACACAAAGAUUCAAGCCAUCUAGACAUCCAGAAAGGCACUUGAAACCAACUCAAGUUUGAGUAGAACAUGAGGUUCUUCUUGGCUGUGCCAUGAUAGACAGUCUUGGGUAUGGUUGCUGUGCAUUUUUUUUGCACAUAUAUCCAAACCAUGUCACUUGUGAUGUGGAACUAUCCAGAUAAAAUCUAGUUAAUCUAGUUUCAAUCUAGAUGGUUUUUAACCAUUUCAGUGUAAGAGCAAAAGCAAAACAACAAUCCAUUUCCUCAACUGGGCUUAUAAAUUUGCCAUAAUUUCAUUAAAAUUUAGUUAUGCAACCCUAGAUCAAAAUGGUCUUACAGCUGAAUGCUGAAAAUUACAACCAUGAUGAAAUGAGUCUACCUGCAAAAGAUCAUGAAGAUGGAGCUCAUGGAUGGGUAAUUACAAGAGGUAUUUCACCUUUUAAAGAAAAAUUUCAAGUUCCCUUCUUAUAUUUUGAACAUCAGUGCUCUAUCAUCCAGUCUCCACAGCCAAACAAGCAUGGAAUGUUUCUUUAAUCCCUGGGAUAAAAUGACAGCAGAAUAGCUUCUUGAUUAGAACGAUGGAAUGGAAUCUGGGACCCUUUGCUUCACAAGAAUCCUCCCCUGAACCCUUGGACAAACUCAUUCCCACAUUGGUUGCAAUUUUUUCUUUUCUAAGAAUAAAAUAGUAUUUACUUGGUUUACAGGAACAUUUCUUGUACUUGUAUUUAGAGACUGUACGGCUUUCAAAGAGCCCUGGGUGCAUAUUACAUGCCAUAGGUAAAAAGCAGGAGUUCUUCUCUGUGCCAGGAGCAAAUACUUCCAGCAGAAGAAGAUUUAGAACAACAGAUGAACAUCUCUGUGAGCAUUUCCAAAAUUGUAUUUUUAAUUAAUGUCUUUCAUCUCAGCUGACAAGAUAAUUCAUCAUCAUUAAAAAGAUAACCCAGGUUAGGGAGAUUUGUUCUGUAAUGUAUCUGUGAAAUAAAUAUUUAGAUGGCCUCUAUAUAUACAGCAAGGUUUUCGAUGCUUAUGAGAGAAAUGCCUCCACUGAACACAAAUAGUGACAAUGACACACUCAUGUUUUCUCUGGGUAAAAAAGAAAUUUAACCAAAUAAACUACAGGUCAGAUACUCAGCUGUAGAAUUUUGAGAAUGCCAAGAGUAACUGACUGUCAUGAAUGGUCACGUAAGUAUAAGUACUUCAUGGAAGCGUGUGUAUUUCUCUAGGAAUUGUAGUAAAUAUUCGUGAUACUGGCUAAUAGGUAUAAGUAGUUGAUUAUCAGAAUAAGUUUAUAGAAAAAAUAAGUCUCUGUGCAUAAGAUUUACCUGCUACUGGCUUUGUAGCUAAGACAGUUAUAAAAGCAACCUAUUGACACAGUCUUUUUGGAGCUCCAGAACUGGAAUGACAGCAUCUACAGAUGCUCUACCCAUGCCAGGUUCACUUUAUAACUAAUGCAGAGAAAUAUGCAUUUUUAAGGUGUAAUUCAUCUGUCUUGUUUAAAACAGACUCCUUAGUAUGUAAUGCAUCAUACCUUUGACGUCAUUGGCAGUACUAAAAAAAAUUCCUUAACUCUAAAGUAUGUUCAUGGUGACUGACUUAGACAAAUUGAGCCCAAGAAGCCUAAUAUGGUGGAAUCAUUAUGGUUUCCAUUACAAUUUUUUUGCAAAUGCUUGCUGCAUACAUAUAGGUAAUUUUAUUUUUUGAGAGUUAAGACCAUUAAAAUUAAUUAUCUUUCUAAGGGUCUGGGAACCUUGACUUCUCAAUGAAGGACAGACAGGUUUUUGAGCAUGACAAUGAUAUUUUAAAUAGGUGUGUUUUGAUAAUAUUUGGUUUAAUUUAUCUGAGUAUCAGAUGCUCCAUAUGUAAAACGUGAAUUACAAUAUUAAUCUUGUUAUUACCUGGGUUGUCUUUAUUCAUUCAGAUUUAUAAAAUGUUUAAUAAACUCAAAAGGAUACAAUGCCAAACAUUAUUACCUAGUUAUUUCUCUUUAUUACUGUCACCUAUUCAUAGGCAUUUUCAGCUCUGUCUGAAUUUUGACCCCUGUUCAUCUCUCCUUUCUAACUAAAUAGGAUAUUUAACUGUAUGUCACUGUGUCUUGAACUCCCUGAAUUUUUGCGUCAGUACAUUUGUGAUUCAGAGCAUAUCCCACAACACCCUUUUCCACAUUGAAUUGGAUGUGCCUUCCUUAUGCUAUUAAAGAUUCAGCAUCACAAGCUAUCAUUAUAUUAAUUUUAAGACACUUUUUUUAUCAACAGAUGAACAAUCAUGAUGAUUAAAAAUGCUUCUCCUCUCAAGGGCUUGUACAGUAUUUUGCAUUCUCUGGCAUGUUUAUUAGUUAUGUUGAUUGAAAAUGAGUGAAAAACAGAGACAACUUAUUAGCCAGUUUAGUUAGCUGCUACUUACAUUAAUGAAAAUGUCUGGAUACAUGCCCAUUAAGAAUACUUGGGAGAUCAGAGGUUGAAAAGCUGUUCCUUUGCUUCUCACUGCUGAC
Columba livia (rock pigeon) is the source of this 5898-nucleotide long non-coding RNA. RefSeq lists it as uncharacterized. Lineage: Eukaryota; Metazoa; Chordata; Aves; Columbiformes; Columbidae. The record is from RefSeq and is a predicted model, not a curated record. The transcript is spliced from 3 exons.